UAAUAUCUAUUGAUUCGAAAUCUAAAUAUUGAAUCUUCUCUUUUAUAUCUAUCAUGUUCCUCAUGAUCAUAACCUAAGUUCAGAUAUCACUAAAAUUACAAUUCUAAAUAAUUAUAACCUUAAACUCAAAUACCACUUAAAUCAUAUUUUUUAGUGAUCAUAAUCUAAACUCUAAUAUCAUUCUAUCAUACCUUUAAUGAUCAUAAUCUUAAACUUUGAUAUUAUCAAUCAUACUCUAUUGAUUAUAAUUUUAAAGUUUUGAUAUCACUUAUAUGACAAUCCCUAGUGACCUUAAACCUGAGCUCUAGUACUGUUCUAUCAUAUUCUCUGAUAUCACUCUGUCACAUCCUAUUGAUCAUGCAUAAAGUUUUGAUAUCACUUCAUAAUCCCUAAUGACUUAAACUUAAGCUCUAAUAUCAUUUUAUCAAAUCUUAAUCACUUAUAUCAUAAUCCCCAA
This 457-nucleotide long non-coding RNA is filed under the name Elaeis guineensis (African oil palm). RNAcentral's name for it is "long non-coding RNA (EGUI_LNC075213)". The record is from RNAcentral. Lineage: Eukaryota; Viridiplantae; Streptophyta; Magnoliopsida; Arecales; Arecaceae.